Molecule: ribosomal RNA, 424 nt
Filed under: uncultured eukaryote
Lineage: Eukaryota
Description: bacterial SSU rRNA
Rfam family: Eukaryotic small subunit ribosomal RNA
Source: RNAcentral
CAAUAGCGUAUAUUAAAGUUGUUGCAGUUAAAAAGCUCGUAGUUGGAUUUCUGGUUGAAGCGACCGGUCGGGCGUUGAUUCGUCUGCACUGGAGUCGGUUUUGGCCAUCCUCUAGGAAAGUGCGUCUGGUAUUAAGUUGUCGGGCGUAUGAUCCUGGUCUUUUACUGUGAAAAAUUAGAGUGUUCAAAGCAGGCUUACGCUUGAAUACAUUAGCAUGGAAUAAUGGAAUAGGACUUUGGUUCUAUUUUGUUGGUUUCUAGAACUGAAGUAAUGAUUAAUAGGGAUAGUUGGGGGCAUUAGUAUUUAAUUGUCAGAGGUGAAAUUCUUGGAUUUAUGAAAGACUAACUUCUGCGAAAGCAUUUGCCAAGGAUGUUUUCAUUAAUCAAGAACGAAAGUUAGGGGAUCGAAGACGAUCAGAUACCAU